Molecule: long non-coding RNA, 1444 nt
Organism: Quercus robur (English oak)
Lineage: Eukaryota; Viridiplantae; Streptophyta; Magnoliopsida; Fagales; Fagaceae
Exons: 2
Source: RefSeq, a predicted model, not a curated record
GUAAGGACCCGGCUAUGUAACUUCCCCUGAAUCACAAUUCCACCAUUCUUUCUCUAUAUGUAAAAGCUCUCUACCUAUCUUCUACCUUCUACCUUCGGUUCCAGCAAUAUCAAAGGAGAACUUCCUCUAUUUUCCUUGAUUACUCACCAAAAUCUUCAAGGCAAUGUAAUUUAGCUCAAACCCUUUCAAGAAUUUAAGUUUUGGAGCAGGAGAGCAUAGGGAAGGUUCACACAUUGCUUGAGACUCUUGGUACGCAGCUGCUAAUCGAGGUAAGGGAUAUGUCAUGAAAGUUUAAUAGUCCAUGUUUUCAGUAUAGUAUAUGUAUCUAUAUUUUAUCAAUGCUUUAAGUAAACUCAGAUUUGAUACUUGUUUGCAAAAGAGUAUUAUGAAUUGAUUCAUAAACAAACUUUGAAAUAUUUUAAUUAUGAUAAUCUUUAGAAACCAACUGUGGAUAUGCUAUGAGUUUUAGCUUAGUAAGGCAAGAGAGAGAUUUAAAGAUAAAAGCAUGAUUCAUUUUUUAAACAAAGAAUUAUUUUUAGUGUGAUGGCCUUGAAGACUAACACCAUAGACCAUGAGGGGACAGUGAUCCUUGUAGACUGGAAACUUUAGGCCUCAAGGGGUUCUAUUCCCUGUAGACCAGCAACAUUUUAGGCCACGAGGGGCUGUAUUCCCUAAAGACAUGGCAACCUAGGCCACGAGGGGGUCGAUAGGUCUCUAAAGACUGGCAAUCAUUAGGCCACGAGAAGAUCUUCGGAUCUUUGAAGAUUGGCAACCUAGGCUACGAAAGGAUGUGUUCAUUGAAGACUGGCACCCAUUAAGUCACAAGAGGCUAAAAAUUUUAAAGAUACAAUAUAGUUACAUGUUUCAUAUAGUUUUGCUAUAUUAUGCAACAUAAUGAGAUAUACUUUUCUUCAUAACAAAUUAUGGAGCAUGUUAUGUUCUUAUAUAAAUGGAAUCAUGCUAUAUGUUCAGAUUUAAGUAGUAAGUUAUGCCUUAUGGUUUAUCAGAUACUAUGUUCACUGGUAAAAUAUUUAUAUAUUCAAAAAGAUCAUGAAAUCCAAUUAGCAUUAACUAUUUAUAAGCAAGUCAUAUCCAUAUGGAAAUAUUUUGUAUGUCAUGCAUUCAUGCAUACUAUUAAAUCUUCAUGUCAAGCCUCCCUUACCUAAGCAAAUAGAUUACUCAGUUUUGCAAGAAGUUCUUUAGUGCAGCCAAGAGCCUCAACUUGGAGAAGCAGUGUUUUUGUACAUGUAGCUAGUUUUGUAUAGUUACCCUGCUAUUUUAUGUAUAUAUAGUAGGAGUGAUGUAUUUGUAUAAAUAGUCUUCCGCUGUAUUAGGAUAUUUUGUACACAUGAUAUUAUGGUUUUGUAUAAACAGUUUAAAGAUGCUUUGAUUACUAUCACUUCCUGUAGACAGACAAGUUUAUCCAUAUAUUCUGAGUUAACAA